RNAcentral lists this small RNA (4364 nucleotides) under Pan troglodytes (chimpanzee). Its description in RNAcentral is "retained intron". The record is from RNAcentral. Lineage: Eukaryota; Metazoa; Chordata; Mammalia; Primates; Hominidae.
CUCCAACAAAUUCCAAACACACUUCACUUUCGAGGAAUUCAGGCGCAGCUCAAACCCCCUCAGCCUGUUGGCUUCUGUUCACCAGCUGCAAGGGUUUACAUACACGGCCACCGCCAUCCAAAAUGUCGUGCACCAAUUGUUCCAUGCCUCAUAUGGGGCCCGUAGGGAUGCCGCCAAAAUUCUCAUUGUCAUCACUGAUGGGAAGAAAGAAGGCGACAGCCUGGAUUAUAAGGAUGUCAUCCCCAUGGCUGAUGCAGCAGGCAUCAUCCGCUAUGCAAUUGGGGUAGGGCGUGGGAUGGCUUCCCACUUCUCCCACGGCUUCCUCUCAGGGCAACUUCCCUUUCUGUGUAUGUUCUUUUCUCUUUGAGACAGGGUCUUGCUCUAUCACCCAGGAAGUGGUGCAAUCCUAGCUCACUGCAGCCUUGAACUCCUGGGCUCCAGUGAUCCUCCCACCCCAGCCUCCCCAGUAGCUGGGACCACAGGUGUGUGCCAUCAAGCCUGGCUAUUUUCUUUUUGGUUGAGAUGGGGUCUUGCUAUGUUGCCCAGGCUGGUCUCAAAUUCCUGGCCUUAAGCAAUUCUACCACCUUGGUCUCCCAAAGCACAGGGAUUACAGGCGUGAACCACCGCCAACAACAUCCCUUUCAAGGAUAGAAACACCAGCUCUCUCGGCUCUUCCUGCCUUAAGGAUGAAAACUCUUCCCCAGACUGGAGACCAUGAUCCUUUCUCCUAAACUCCCUGAUGCUGUCCGGGCUUCGUGUUUCUCCUGUGUCCACCGGGUGUGAUCAUGUUGAUCUUGUGGGGUUAUUGGAAGAUGUUGCACCCAGUGCACACAGGCACAUUUGAUUUAUUAUUUUUACUGAGUUGAUCUUUUCUGGGGACAGGUUGGAUUAGCUUUUCAAAACAGAAAUUCUUGGAAAGAAUUAAAUGACAUUGCAUCGAAGCCCUCCCAGGAACACAUAUUUAAAGUGGAGGACUUUGAUGCUCUGAAAGAUAUUCAAAACCAACUGAAGGAGAAGAUCUUUGCCAUUGAGGGUACGGAGACCACAAGCAGUAGCUCCUUCGAAUUGGAGAUGGCACAGGAGGGCUUCAGCGCUGUGUUCACACCUGAUGGCCCCGUUCUGGGGGCUGUGGGGAGCUUCACCUGGUCUGGAGGUGCCUUCCUGUACCCCCCAAAUAUGAGCCCUACCUUCAUCAACAUGUCUCAGGAGAAUGUGGACAUGAGGGACUCUUACCUGGGUUACUCCACCGAGCUGGCCCUCUGGAAAGGGGUGCAGAGCCUGGUCCUGGGGGCCCCCCGCUACCAGCACACCGGGAAGGCUGUCAUCUUCACCCAGGUGUCCAGGCAAUGGAGGAUGAAGGCCGAAGUCACGGGGACUCAGAUUGGCUCCUACUUCGGGGCCUCCCUCUGCUCCGUGGACGUGGACAGCGAUGGCAGCACCGACCUGGUCCUCAUUGGGGCCCCCCAUUACUACGAGCAGACCCGAGGGGGCCAGGUGUCUGUGUGUCCCUUGCCCAGGGGGUGGAGAAGGUGGUGGUGUGAUGCUGUUCUCUACGGGGAGCAGGGCCACCCCUGGGGUCGCUUUGGGGCGGCUCUGACAGUGCUGGGGGAUGUGAAUGGGGACAAGCUGACGGAUGUGGUCAUCGGGGCCCCAGGAGAGGAGGAGAACCGGGGUGCUGUCUACCUGUUUCACGGAGUCUUGGGACCCAGCAUCAGGCCCUCCCACAGCCAGAGUCUCGCUCUGUCACCCAGACUGGAGCACAGUGGUGCAAUCUCCGCUCACUGCAACCUCUGCCUCCCGGGUUCAAGUGAUUCUCCUGCCUCAGCCUCCUGAGCAGCUUGGAUUGCAGCGGAUCGCGGGCUCCCAGCUCUCCUCCAGGCUGCAGUAUUUUGGGCAGGCGCUGAGCGGGGGUCAAGACCUCACCCAGGAUGGACUGGUGGACCUGGCUGUGGGGGCCCGAGGCCAGGUGCUCCUGCUCAGGACCAGACCUGUGCUCUGGGUGGGGGUGAGCAUGCAGUUCAUACCUGCCGAGAUCCCCAGGUCUGCGUUUGAGUGUCGGGAGCAGGUGGUCUCUGAGCAGACCCUGGUACAGUCCAACAUCUGCCUUUACAUUGACAAACGUUCUAAGAACCUGCUUGGGAGCCGUGACCUCCAAAGCUCCGUGACCUUGGACCUGGCCCUCGACCCUGGCCGCCUGAGUCCCCGUGCCACCUUCCAGGAAACAAAGAACCGGAGUCUGAGCCGAGUCCGAGUCCUCGGGCUGAAGGCACACUGUGAAAACUUCAACCUGCUGCUCCCGCUACCCUUUGAGAAGAACUGUGGAGCCGACCAUAUCUGCCAGGACAAUCUCGGCAUCUCCUUCAGCUUCCCAGGAAACAAGGGGAGCUGCGUUCCCUGCACCUGACAUGUGACAGUGCCCCAGUUGGGAGCCAGGGCACCUGGAGCACCAGCUGCAGAAUCAACCACCUCAUCUUCCGUGGCGGCGCCCAGAUCACCUUCUUGGCUACCUUUGACGUCUCCCCCAAGGCUGUCCUGGGAGACCGGCUGCUUCUGACAGCCAAUGUGAGCAGUGAGAACAACACUCCCAGGACCAGCAAGACCACCUUCCAGCUGGAGCUCCCGGUGAAGUAUGCCGUCUACACUGUGGUUAGCAGCCACGAACAAUUCACCAAAUACCUCAACUUCUCAGAGUCUGAGGAGAAGGAAAGCCAUGUGGCCAUGCACAGAUACCAGGUCAAUAACCUGGGACAGAGGGACCUGCCUGUCAGCAUCAACUUCUGGGUGCCUGUGGAGCUGAACCAGGAGGCUGUGUGGAUGGAUGUGGAGGUCUCCCACCCUCAGAACCCAUCCCUUCGGUGCUCCUCAGAGAAAAUCGCACCCCCAGCAUCUGACUUCCUGGCGCACAUUCAGAAGAAUCCUGUGCUGGACUGCUCCAUUGCUGGCUGCCUGCGGUUCCGCUGUGACGUCCCCUCCUUCAGCGUCCAGGAGGAGCUGGAUUUCACCCUGAAGGGCAACCUCAGCUUUGGCUGGGUCCGCCAGACAUUGCAGAAGAAGGUGUCGGUCGUGAGUGUGGCUGAAAUUACGUUCGACACAUCCGUGUACUCCCAGCUUCCAGGACAGGAGGCAUUUAUGAGAGCUCAGACGACAACGGUGCUGGAGAAGUACAAGGUCCACAACCCCACCCCCCUCAUCGUAGGCAGCUCCAUUGGGGGUCUGUUGCUGCUGGCACUCAUCACAGCGGUACUGUACAAAGUUGGCUUCUUCAAGCGUCAGUACAAGGAAAUGAUGGAGGAGGCAAAUGGACAAAUUGCCCCAGAAAACGGGACACAGACCCCCAGCCCGCCCAGUGAGAAAUGAUCCCCUCUUUGCCUUGGACUUCUUCUCCCCGGCGAGUUUUCCCCACUUACUUACCCUCACCUGUCAGGCCUGACGGGGAGGAACCACUGCACCACUGAGAGAGGCUGGGAUGAGCCUGCUUCCUGUCUUUGGGAGAAAACGUCUUGCUUGGGAAGGGGCCUUUGUCUUGUCAAGGUUCCAACUGGAAACCCUUAGGACAGGGUCCCUGCUGUGUUCCCCACAGGACUUGACUUGCAAUUUCUACCUAGAAAUACAUGGACAAUACCCCCAGGCCUCAGUCUCCCUUCUCCCGUGAGGCACGAAUGAUCUUUCUUUUCUUUCUUUUUUUUUUUUUUUUUGAGACGGAGUCUCGCUCUGUCACCCAGGCUGGAGUGCAAUGGUGUGAUCUCGGCUCACUGCAACCUCCGCCUCCUGGGUUCAAGUAAUUCUGCUGUCUCAGCCUCCUGAGUAGCUGGGACUACAGGCACACGCCACCUCGCCCGGCCCGAUCUUUCUAAAAUACAGUUCUGAAUAUGCUGCUCAUCCCCACCUGUCUUCAACAGCUCCCCAUUACCCUCAGGACAAUGUCUGAACUCUCCAGCUUUGCGUGAGAAGUCCCCUUCCAUCCCAGAGGGUGGGCUUCAGGGCACACAGCAUGAGAGGCUCUGUGCCCCCAUCACCCUCGUUUCCAGUGAAUUAGUGUCAUGUCAGCAUCAGCUCAGGGCUUCAUCGUGGGGCUCUCAGUUCCGAUUUCCCAGGCUGAAUUGGGAGUGAGAUGCCUGCAUGCUGGGUUCUGCACAGUUGGCCUCCCGCGUUGGGCAACAUUGCUGGCUGGAAGGGAGGAGCGCCCUCUAGGGAGGGACACGGCCCCGGUGCGGCUCCAGCUCACCCAGCCCCAGGGGCAGAAGAGACCCAACCACUUCUAUUUUUUGAGGCUAUGAAUAUAGUACCUGAAAAAAUGCCAAUACAUGAUUAUUUUUUUAAAAAGCGUACUUUAAAUGUUUGUGUUAAUAAAUUAAAACAUGCAC